This 1620-nucleotide small RNA is filed under the name Pan troglodytes (chimpanzee). Its description in RNAcentral is "retained intron". The record is from RNAcentral. Lineage: Eukaryota; Metazoa; Chordata; Mammalia; Primates; Hominidae.
UCUUGAACUGACCUCGUGAUCCACCCGCCUUGGCCUCCCAAAGUGCUGGGAUUACAGGCGUGAGCCACUGCGUCCAGCCACACCUGGUUUUCAGAGGCUGAGGAAGGGGAGGUUUGGAAAGAUUUGGGGAAAAGGAAGGCAGAGCAGCAGGGGAAAGUCAGAGGACCCCUGCGAGCCCAGCCUUCUGUGAGGUGAGGGGGUGAAGGAGACUGUAGCCUGAAGCAGACAGUCGGGUGGGCCCUGCCCUGGCACUCCUGGGUGGGAGGCUGUGGGCAGCUGCCACUUGGCUGAUUCACAGAAGUGUUUCAUUGGCUUUGCUGUAAGGGCUGCCCUGGCCCAUCCAUGGGUGUGCUUGUACCCACCUUGAAAGGGGCUAGGGAGGGGAGGAGGGAGCUGUGAGGGCUUGUGCCUAGCAAGCCCUCCAGAGCUUCCUUGCCUGUGCUGAGCAAGCUCCAUGCUCUCUACAGGCCUACCUGGAGUCCUUCUACAAGUUCUGCACCCUACUGGGCGGGACUACGGCUGAUGCCAUGUGCCCCAUCCUGGAGUUUGAAGCAGACCGCCGCGCCUUCAUCAUCACCAUCAAUUCUUUCGGCACAGAGCUGUCCAAAGAGGACCGUGCCAAGCUCUUUCCACACUGUGGGCGGCUCUACCCUGAGGGCCUGGCGCAGCUGGCUCGGGCUGACGACUAUGAACAGGUCAAGAACGUGGCCGAUUACUACCCGGUGAGUGCCCCGGCUGGCAGGACAGCGGUUGGAUGUGUUGUCACCAAGCACCCCCACCCAGAACCCUCAUGCUCGUGCUUCCCCCCACCCCCCUGGCCAGGAGUACAAGCUGCUCUUCGAGGGUGCAGGUAGCAACCCUGGAGACAAGACGCUGGAGGACCGAUUCUUUGAGCACGAGGUGAGUCUGCAGGGUCUGCUUGUCAGAGGGAGGCCAACCUGGUGGUUUAGACCUGACUCUGUGGCCAUGGCCACCUGGACACCACAUCUGCCCGUGUCCACAGGUAAAGCUGAACAAGUUGGCCUUCCUGAACCAGUUCCACUUUGGUGUCUUCUAUGCCUUCGUGAAGCUCAAGGAGCAGGAGUGUCGCAACAUCGUGUGGAUCGCUGAAUGUAUCGCCCAGCGCCACCGCGCCAAAAUCGACAACUACAUCCCUAUCUUCUAGCGUCCUGGCCCAAGGCUCUCAAUUGCACUCUUUGUGUGUGUGUAUGUGGUCUGUGACAAGCCUGUGGCUCACCUGCCUGUCCGGGGUGUAGUACGCUGUCCUAGCGGCUGCCCAGUUCUCCUGACCCUCUUAGAGACUGUUCUUAGGCCUGAAAAGGGGCUGGGCACCCCCCCACCAAGGAUGGACCAAGACCCCCUCCAGAGCAAGGAGGCCCCCUCAGCCCUGUGGUUACAGCCGCUGAUGUGUCUAAGAAGCAUGUCACUUUCAUGUUCCUCCCUAACUCCCUAACCUGAGAACCCUGGGGCCUGGGGGCAGUUUGAGCCUCCUCUCCCGUCUGUGGGUCGCUCCCAGAGCCAUGGCCCAUGGGAAGGACAGAGUGUGUGUGUCCUUGGGGCCUGGGGGGAUGUUGCUCCUCAGCUCCCUCCCUCAGCCCUGCCCCUCUGAGACAAUAAAAC